AUCCCUGUAGAGCAUUGGAUACCGCAUUGGACUUCUAAUCCAAAAGUCGUAGGUUCGAAUCAUAUCUGAGAUA
Trichonephila inaurata madagascariensis is the source of this 73-nucleotide non-coding RNA. NCBI's taxonomy places the organism in Eukaryota, Metazoa, Arthropoda, Arachnida, Araneae, Nephilidae. The record is from the annotation of a GenBank genome assembly.